AUAUAUAUAUAUAUGGAAAAACUUCAAAAAACCUCCAAGUGGUUUCGUAGUUUCUCACUUUAGUACCCUGUGGUUUAAAGUGUAUCAAUUUGCCCCCUGUGGUUUCGUUUUUAUUUUUUCGGAAGCUUUUUCGUUAAUAUUUCAUUAAAUUAUAUACAAAAAACUUCAUAUACCCAUCUAAAUUUAUCAAAUAUUUAUUUUAGUAUCCUUUAAUUUUAACUUUAUCACUGAUUUAAGAAAAAAAAAUAAUAAAAUUGAUAAGAAAAAGAAAAAAAAGAAACCACAGGGAGACAAAUUGAUAUAUUUUAAAUCACAGGGAGGCAAAGUGAGAAUCUACGAAACCACAAGGGGGUUUUUGAAAUUUUUCCUAUAUCAUAUAUAUAU
This 384-nucleotide long non-coding RNA is filed under the name Ananas comosus (pineapple). RNAcentral's name for it is "long non-coding RNA (ACOM_LNC006491)". Lineage: Eukaryota; Viridiplantae; Streptophyta; Magnoliopsida; Poales; Bromeliaceae. The record is from RNAcentral.